GGGGGGGGUAGAGGGGUAAAUUUCGUUAAGUUCAAUAUCGUUCUCGCUAGAACGACCACAGGCGGUAGGAGAAUACCUAAUAUUGAAGUUAGUCCAGCGAUACAGUGUUUUUCCGACGACUGUGGAGUUCCUUGCUUGGAUUAGUUUUCUUACAGUUGUUACGGUCUUCGCGAAUCAAGGUCUAUUGUGAAUAACUGACAACUGUCUUGUGAAAAGGUAUCCUCGCGCGGGUCCACAACAAGGAUACCAAUUUCAACAAAUACGAUAUCUGUUUAUUUUAUUGGUGAAAUAAGAGUUUCGCUUACAAAGUGUAACACAUUGAUUCACAUGAACUACGUUUAAAUUUUAAAUGGUAGACUCAAAAGUGCACAAAAAUACUAUUUUCUUGCGCUACUUUACCUAAUGCAUUAGCAAGCAAUCACAAACAAUAGGAAUCACAAAUAAGACAAUACACAUAUUAACGCGAAAGCAUACGAUUAAUGUAAUGUAUAUACUCUAUAGUUGUUAACGAACCUAAGGCUGAGUUCAAACGUCGUCUUCACACCCUUCAUACUGAAGUUCUUCCAAAAUAACUGUUAAUUUAUUCCAAGAAAAACGUGAAUUUUCCAGGAAAAGUUAGAAGAACACUUAUUCGAUGGUGGAACUGCGGGCCACGCGUUUGCACAAUACGAAUGGCACCGUCUUAUUAAGCUAACUAUGAAAAAAUUCCAUUCCCAAACAACUUACGUAAAAAAUAAAGGGUGGUCUCUAGGUUCCUAUACCUGCUCAGACAUCGUCAAAGAAAAAAAUUUAAUCUCUGCGUUAAAUCCUUUCACAACAAUCAACAUUAUAUCUAAUAACACCCAACAGAGCUAAAUAAAAGGGAAGCUUCAAUAUAUGGUACUCAUCUUGUAACUUCUUUAGUAGCCUUAAAAUAGUUUUGAAUUUUGCCGACAAAAAUAUAUUCUUAGAAUCCUUGCCAGGUUCAUAUCUAGUACAGCAUACACCAUUAAUAUCAUAAAACAUCGAUCAAGAACGGUAAGACAUGCCCUUAUACAGCUUUUAUAAAGUAGGUUAUAAAAUAACCAUAGUGGGCUAAGUUAUUAGCUACUUGAUAAAGGCGCUGUUAUUCAUUGUCUUCAUGGUUUAUCUAAUAAAAGACACUCAUCAUAA
Long non-coding RNA from Nematostella vectensis (starlet sea anemone), 1152 nucleotides. RefSeq lists it as uncharacterized. Lineage: Eukaryota; Metazoa; Cnidaria; Anthozoa; Actiniaria; Edwardsiidae. The transcript is spliced from 2 exons. The record is from RefSeq and is a predicted model, not a curated record.